Molecule: unclassified non-coding RNA, 920 nt
Filed under: Hevea brasiliensis (rubber tree)
Lineage: Eukaryota; Viridiplantae; Streptophyta; Magnoliopsida; Malpighiales; Euphorbiaceae
Source: RNAcentral
AUUUUGGGCUUUGACAUAAAUGUUAGCCAUCUGGUUAUCAGAGGCGACAAGCUCAUUCUCUAAUUCUUUAAUUUUCUACUUACGCUCAGCUGCAUCAACUAAGUGACUUUCCUUUUAAGUAGUAAGCUUGAACUCUAAAAGCUUUGAUUUCUCCUUCUCAGACUGCAGCUUACCCUCAAAAUCCUUUAUUUUCGCUCCAAUUUAGGAGACAGCCUUGGUUAGUAGAGAAAUUUUGAUCUCCUGAACAUUAACAUGUCCCCUUAAAGAUAUAACUUUUUCCUUCAAAAGUUGGGUACAGGCAAUCUGCUCCAUUUGCAAGCUAAAGUCUUGGAGGGCAAGGUCUUUGUCAUGCUCAUGCUCUAGUCUAGCUCGAGCUAAGGAAAGAGUAUAUUUCUUACCGAACCAACUAGUAAGAUUGUAAUUAUCAAAGAAGGAUUGAAUGGCGAGCAAUUAGUCGGGGAUUUGUAUGGUCGAUUGUGAUGCAAGAACAAUCUCUAUAACAAUCUCUAUCUCUCUCUUUCUUCCCUUCCCUAUAUUUGGAAUCAGUUAGAUCAGCCACAGUUUAUCUCUUACUGAAGAUAGACGGGGUCAGUGGAGUUGCACUUUUAGCCCUUUUGGUGGUAGGACAUCAGUCUCCUUUGUGCCAAAAACUCAGCUCGCCCUUUUCUUCUGCUUGAUAAGCUUCUCGAUAUUCUUCGCUCAGCUUACCAUAUCCUCUUGCAAAUUGUCGUUAUAAUGCUCGGUCACUACAGGAUCCGUAGUCAUGUGGGUGGCAUUCCACCAAUUGGACUCUGAUUUAAUUGGCUCCUUGAUUGAAAUUUUUUACUUAGUGAGCUAUAGCUUUCGGUUCUUUUAUCACAGCUUUCUCUUCAGCAGUCAGUUCUAAUCUGCUUUUCCUCUUGUCCACGAAGCAAUUCCAG